Non-coding RNA from Rhincodon typus (whale shark), 74 nucleotides. The record is from the annotation of a RefSeq genome assembly. Lineage: Eukaryota; Metazoa; Chordata; Chondrichthyes; Orectolobiformes; Rhincodontidae.
GGUCCAGUGGCGCAAUCGGUCAGCGCGCGGUACUUAUAAUGCCGAGGUUGUGAGUUCGAGCCUCACCUGGAGCA